Molecule: ribosomal RNA, 465 nt
Filed under: uncultured bacterium
Lineage: Bacteria
Description: partial 16S ribosomal RNA
Rfam family: Bacterial small subunit ribosomal RNA
Source: RNAcentral
CCUACGGGAGGCAGCAGUAGGGAAUCUUCCACAAUGGGCGAAAGCCUGAUGGAGCAACGCCGCGUGGGUGAAGAAGGUCUUCGGAUCGUAAAACCCUGUUGUUAGAGAAGAAAGUGCGUGAGAGUAACUGUUCACGUUUCGACGGUAUCUAACCAGAAAGCCACGGCUAACUACGUGCCAGCAGCCGCGGUAAUACGUAGGUGGCAAGCGUUAUCCGGAUUUAUUGGGCGUAAAGGGAAAGGAGGCGGGCUUUUAAGUCUGAUGGGAAAGCCUUCGGGUUAACCGGGGUAGUGCAUUGGAAACUGGGAGACCUGAGUGCAGAAGAGGAGAGUGGAACUCCAUGUGUAGCGGUGAAAUGCGUAGAUAUAUGGAAGAACACCAGUGGCGAAAGCGGCUCUCUGGUCUGUAACUGACGCUGAGGUUCGAAAGCGUGGGUAGCAAACAGGAUUAGAUACCCCAGUAGUC